GAGCAGCCUUCCCGGAAGCCGUGCAGCUGAAGGAGUAGCUAACUCUACCCAGACAUCUGACGAAUUCAAGUGAUGCUUCAGAAGAAAGGACGACUCAUCCCUCUUUGCCUCUCUCCUCGCGUCUCUCCCGUGCCUCCUCGGUGGGAGGGACUAAGACGUGAGGAAUGCAGGCAAGUGGAGGACUCGAGGAGGCAAUUUAAGCAACAUGAGAUGCACCUUAUAUCUCCAA
Molecule: long non-coding RNA, 229 nt
Organism: Etheostoma spectabile (orangethroat darter)
Lineage: Eukaryota; Metazoa; Chordata; Actinopteri; Perciformes; Percidae
Exons: 3
Source: RefSeq, a predicted model, not a curated record